GAUGAACGCUGGCGGCGUGCCUAAUACAUGCAAGUCGAGCGAACGGACGAGAAGCUUGCUUCUCUGAUGUUAGCGGCGGACGGGUGAGUAACACGUGGAUAACCUACCUAUAAGACUGGGAUAACUUCGGGAAACCGUAGCUAAUACCGGAUAAUAUUUUGAACCGCAUGGUUCAAAAGUGAAAGACGGUCUUGCUGUCACUUAUAGAUGGAUCCGCGCUGCAUUAGCUAGUUGGUAAGGUAACGGCUUACCUAGGCAACGAUGCAUAGCCGACCUGAGAGGGUGAUCGGCCACACUGGAACUGAGACACGGUCCAGACUCCUACGGGAGGCAGCAGUAGGGAAUCUUCCGCAAUGGGCGAAAGCCUGACGGAGCAACGCCGCGUGAGUGAUGAAGGUCUUCGGAUCGUAAAACUCUGUUAUUAGGGAAGAACAUAUGUGUAAGUAACUGUGCACAUCUUGACGGUACCUAAUCAGAAAGCCACGGCCAACUACGUG
Molecule: ribosomal RNA, 497 nt
Filed under: uncultured bacterium
Lineage: Bacteria
Description: partial 16S ribosomal RNA
Rfam family: Bacterial small subunit ribosomal RNA
Source: RNAcentral